Long non-coding RNA from Triticum aestivum (bread wheat), 549 nucleotides. RefSeq lists it as uncharacterized. NCBI's taxonomy places the organism in Eukaryota, Viridiplantae, Streptophyta, Magnoliopsida, Poales, Poaceae. The record is from RefSeq and is a predicted model, not a curated record. The transcript has 2 exons.
GAGUGUUCCACGACCCAAUCCCUCCACGCCGCCGCCAGGAGUCCUUCCGACGCGAUUGUGCCAUGACGCGCCCUUCCUUCCCCGCCAGCCCGGCCAGAAGCUGCCGCCCCUUUUGCGUCCCCAGGCGAGCCACCGCUCGACAGAUGUGCAGUGCCAGCCGCUGCCACUACGGAUUCCGCUGCCACGCGUGAGUAGGAGAUCGAUGAAAAUAAGCUCUCUGCCCUCUACGGAUGAUGCAGGGAAAAGUUAAUAUUUUGAGAAUAUAGAGCAGAGAUAGUAAGAAGAAGAAGAAUACGAAGCAAGACAAAUAGUACACCAUUUGACGUCUACAGUCUGUUUAAGGACAACAACAAUUUUCUGCACUGUGAGUAUAUGUUGAUUGCAUUUUCUGCCCAGGUUGAGAUCGCCAUCAUUCAUACUAGAUGAGCUACAGAAUUUUUUUAAUUUGUUUUGCCUACAACCAUGUGAUUUUUCUCCACACGUCUGAUAUCUAUGGUAUUUUCAUGUUCAUAAAAUAAUGAUUCUUCAAUCUAUGGUUUUACAAUUUCA